CCAAAGUGCACAGUUGUGCUUUUCAUAGUGUUGCUGCUUGGUAACUAGUAUCUAUUCUAACAGGCAAAGCGUCGCAGCACCUUCAGAGAGCAGUAGCGUGUUCCCUUUGAUCCUUGCUUCACCUUUUCAACACAGCUGCACAGCAAGAGAAUUUUCAACAAAAAAAACAGAAAGCUGUGUGGCUUUUGGCUGCUGACACAACCACAGGGUCCCUCCUCAGAAGUUCCUGUGAUGAAGAUGGUUCAGUUCUGCACCAUGAAGGCACAACACCAGCACAGCGCAAUGGGGCGACUAGGCCUCCUUGGGGACCGAAACGUGUCUCACAUAGGAGCUACGACAACCUGCAGCUCCCCUGGUUCUGCCCCCAAGGAUCACUCUGCAAAACAGACAGAAGCCCCAACAGCUCAGCAAUAAUUUCCCCCCCACCCAAAUACAAUAGCGUAUUUUUUUCACAAGUGUUUAGCAAAUGUAACCUCUGUGUUUUAUAACUUACAUUCAUUGAUCAAACUGAUGUGUUUCUCUUUUGGACAAAUAGUCAUUACAUCUGAAAGUUUACAACUAGGCUUUGAAGUUAAUGUUCACUGAGAUGAAGGAGAAAGUUCACACUUCUAUUGUUUCCAUCCCCUUUGGCUGCAGACCAGAUAAGACAGUAAUGUAUUAAAUUUACAAGUGAUGACUAUUUUUGCAGCCAGAAAAGCCAAAAACAUCUUAAAAGAAUAAUGGCUUGAAUUCUGUAGUGCUCAGCAAAAUGCUGCAAAAGGAGGGAAAUGAAUCCAGGAAAUCUAUGAAUGUUUCAUAAUUGUUAAUUUCUCUGUUUACUAGUUUAACCUCAUCUGCCUUCCACAUAGGGUGCGUCGCCCUUCCUCAGAUUUUGCUGCUAUUGCUACCACGUUUCCUUGUGUCGCCCACAGCUGUUAUUCCCCACAAGAAAUCCGUGGAGAAGGAUGGCCACUGCGGCCAAAAGCCAGUAAGACAAAGAUCUUUCCUCUGGUAUUAACAGCUCCCUCUCUCUAAUUCUUCUUAAAUAAGUAAAGGAGAUGUUAAAUUUACAACAUACUUUGCUAACAGCCAAGAGAAAGUUGGAGGGUGUUAAAACAUCCAACUCCUUCGUGCUGGUUUGGGAAUCCCAGCCUCUGAGUGACUUUUUCGAGCCCUUCUUCCUAUCCUGGUGUUAGCUAAAACCGGGGAAAAUCCGCCAGCGGCCGAACAGGUCUGCCUGGGGGCCCAGCAGCCGUGCCGGGGGCUUGCCAUCACCGCCUGCCCUGCGCGCUGGGCAGGAGCCUGGGAACAGGCGCCUUGGGCCGUGGGCAGCGCCAUGCCUGCCGUCACCUCGGCCUCGGGGACACCGGGAGGGCACAUUUCCAUCGCCCUGUGCCCCCGGUGUAUCUACGUGUGAGGAAUAAGGAGAUUAAAAAACAGGGAGCCAGGAAACUGCCCAGUGCUAGCCAUGAGAUCCCAUAAAGCGGACGAGCCAAAACGUGGCAUUUU
RNAcentral lists this long non-coding RNA (1488 nucleotides) under Apteryx owenii (little spotted kiwi). RNAcentral describes it as "lncRNA (ENSAOWG00000009576.1)". Lineage: Eukaryota; Metazoa; Chordata; Aves; Apterygiformes; Apterygidae. The record is from RNAcentral.